GACGAACGCUGGCGGCGUGCCUAAUACAUGCAAGUAGAACGCUGAAGGAGGAGCUUGCUUCUCUGGAUGAGUUGCGAACGGGUGAGUAACGCGUAGGUAACCUGCCUGGUAGCGGGGGAUAACUAUUGGAAACGAUAGCUAAUACCGCAUAAUAGUAGAUGUUGCAUGACAUUUGCUUAAAAGGUGCAAUUGCAUCACUACCAGAUGGACCUGCGUUGUAUUAGCUAGUUGGUGGGGUAACGGCUCACCAAGGCGACGAUACAUAGCCGACCUGAGAGGGUGAUCGGCCACACUGGGACUGAGACACGGCCCAGACUCCUACGGGAGGCAGCAGUAGGGAAUCUUCGGCAAUGGACGGAAGUCUGACCGAGCAAAGCCGCGUGAGUGAAGAAGGGUUUCGGAUCGUAAAGCUCUGUUGUAAGAGAAGAACGAGUGUGAGAGUGGAAAGUUCACACUGUGACGGUAGCUUAACAGAAAGGGACGGCUAACUACGUG
This 495-nucleotide ribosomal RNA is filed under the name uncultured bacterium. RNAcentral describes it as "partial 16S ribosomal RNA". It matches the Rfam family "Bacterial small subunit ribosomal RNA", at positions 28 to 507 of the family's 1533-position model. The record is from RNAcentral.